AACGAACGCUGGCGGCAUGCUUUACACAUGCAAGUCGAACGGUAGAGGGGGCAACCCCUCGAGAGUGGCGAACGGGUGAGUAAUAUAUCGGAACGUGCCCAGUCGUGGGGGAUAACGUAGCGAAAGUUACGCUAAUACCGCAUACGAUCUAAGGAUGAAAGCGGGGGAUCGCAAGACCUCGCGCGAUUGGAGCGGCCGAUAUCAGAUUAGGUAGUUGGUGGGGUAAAGGCUCACCAAGCCAACGAUCUGUAGCUGGUCUGAGAGGACGACCAGCCACACUGGAACUGAGCACCGGGCCAGACUCCUACGGGAGGCAGCAGUGGGGAAUUUUGGACAAUGGACGCAAGUCUGAUCCAGCCAUUCCGCGUGCAGGAUGAAGGCCCUCGGGUUGUAAACUGCUAUUGUACAGAACGAAAAGGUUUCUACUAAUACUAGGAGCUCAUGACGGUACUGUAAGAAUAAGCACCGGCUAACUACGUGCCAGCCGCCGCAGUAA
RNAcentral lists this ribosomal RNA (496 nucleotides) under uncultured bacterium. RNAcentral describes it as "partial 16S ribosomal RNA". It matches the Rfam family "Bacterial small subunit ribosomal RNA", at positions 29 to 523 of the family's 1533-position model. The record is from RNAcentral.